AUUCCCUUAGUAACUGCGAGUGAACAGGGAUUAGCCCAGCACCGAAGCCUGUGGUUAUUUGAUCACUAGGCAAUGUGGUGUUUAGGUUAUCUCGCGGAAGUACUGCUCCACCCUAAGUCCAAAAAUGAGUACGGUAGUACGGACAUGGCCCACAGAGGGUGAAAGGCCCGUGGGGGUGGGGAUCAGGCAGGCCAGUGCUUCUCUGAGUAAACCUUGGAGUCGGGUUGUUUGAGAUUGCAGCCCAAAGUGGGUGGUAAACUCCAUCCAAGGCUAAAUACUUGCACGAGUCCGAUAGAUAACAAGUACCGUGAGGGAACGUUGAAAAGUACUUUGAAGAGAGAGUAAACAGUGCGUGAAACCGCUCAGAGGUAAACGGGUGGAGUUGAACUGCGAACUCCGAGAAUUCAACUGGUGAGUGUGGUUUGAGCUUGGCAUAACGGUUGGCUCCGCGGGUCUGCUUAGCUGCAGGUCUUCGCCUUUCGGUGGGGAUGCGCGAUACACUUGUCAAGUGUUGCGCGCUCGUGGGGUAACUCGGGCAUACUCGCCGGUGCACUUUCUCGGGGUGUUCACCACGACCGGCGCCGCUACUUGUCUAAUACGGCCUAAACGGUCUUGCUUGGUCUUUGUGGCUUGGCUUGGUCGGGACGGCUGGUUGGCACGCCUUCGGUUUCCGAGUGCAGUCAGCUGGUCGUAUUAGUACUAUGUAGUGCGUCGGAGACGGCGGCUUGUUGUGUGUGCGUGCGUAGCUGCUUGCUGACGGGACUGAGUUUGGUUAUUAUGUUGCCUGUUCUGCAGGCCUGGUGAUGGCUCGGUUCCGCUUGGUGAGUGGGUGCGUGUGUGACACUUAUCAGGGCCAAUAGUCUGUGGUGUUGUGGUAGACUAUCCACCUGACCCGUCUUGAAACACGGACCAAGGAGAGUAACAUGUGCGCGAGUCAUUGGGCGUUGCGAAACCCAAAGGCGAAGUGAAAGUAAAGACUUGACCUGGUCGAGUUGUGGUGAGAUCCUGUCGUUUCUCAUGCGCGGUACUACCAAGCACUCGAGCGAUAGGCGCAUCACCGGCCCGUCCCAUGGUGUGGUCACUGUCCUCGGAUUGGUGCAUCACCGGGGCGGAGCAUGAGCGCACAUGUUGAGACCCGAAAGAUGGUGAACUAUGCUUGCGCAGGUUGAAGCCAGAGGAAACUCUGGUGGAGGACCGUAGCGAUUCUGACGUGCAAAUCGAUCGUCAAACGUGAGUAUAGGGGCGAAAGACUAAUCGAACCAUCUAG
This 1267-nucleotide ribosomal RNA is filed under the name Rhabdiopoeus taylori. RNAcentral's name for it is "eukaryotic LSU rRNA". It matches the Rfam family "Eukaryotic large subunit ribosomal RNA", at positions 74 to 947 of the family's 3401-position model. Lineage: Eukaryota; Metazoa; Platyhelminthes; Trematoda. The record is from RNAcentral.